CACGUAGGGUGCGAGCGUUGUCCGGAAUUAUUGGGCGUAAAGAGCUCGUAGGCGGUCUGUCGCGUCGGCUGUGAAAUCCCCGGAGCUCAACUCCGGGUCUGCAGUCGAUACGGGCAAACUGGAGUACUGCAGGGGAGACUGGAAUUCCUGGUGUAGCGGUGAAAUGCGCAGAUAUCAGGAGGAACACCGGUGGCGAAGGCGGGUCUCUGGGCAGUAACUGACGCUGAGGAGCGAAAAGCGUGGGGGAGCGAACAGG
This 256-nucleotide ribosomal RNA is filed under the name uncultured bacterium. RNAcentral's name for it is "partial 16S ribosomal RNA". It matches the Rfam family "Bacterial small subunit ribosomal RNA", at positions 524 to 776 of the family's 1533-position model. The record is from RNAcentral.